This 650-nucleotide ribosomal RNA is filed under the name uncultured bacterium. RNAcentral's name for it is "bacterial SSU rRNA". It matches the Rfam family "Bacterial small subunit ribosomal RNA", at positions 45 to 727 of the family's 1533-position model. The record is from RNAcentral.
GGUUCCACUCUGUACUUUAGUUUAUCUAGAGUGUGGUGUGGAAUCACACGAGCGGCGGACGGCUGAGUAAUACACAGGAACGUACCCCAAACUGAGGGAUAAGCACCAGAAAUGGUGUCUAAUACCGCAUAAUCUCUUCGGAGGAAAGUAUUUAUACGGUUUGGGAGCGGCCUGUGCCCGAUUAGCUAGUUGGCGGGGUAAAUGCCCACCAAGGCGACGAUCGGUAGCUGGUCUGAGAGGAUGAUCAGCCAGACUGGGACUGAGAACGGCCCAGACUCCUACGGGAGGCAGCAGUAGGGAAUUUUGCGCAAUGGACGAAAGUCUGACGCAGCAACGCCGCGUGCAGGAAGACGGCCUUCGGGUUGUAAACUGCUUUUAUCUGUGACGAUUAUGACGGUAGCAGAUGAAUAAGGAUCGGCUAACUCCGUGCCAGCAGCCGCGGUCAUACGGAGGAUCCAAGCGUUAUCCGGAAUUACUGGGCGUAAAGAGUUGCGUAGGUGGUUGAUUAAGCAAAACAUAAAAUCUCACGGCUCAACCGUGAAGCUAUGUUUUGAACUAGUCGACUAGGGCAUGGAAGAGGUAGCUGGAAUUCCUGGUGUAGGAGUGAAAUCCGUAGAUAUCAGGAGGAACACCGAUGGCGUAGGCAGGCU